Molecule: transfer RNA, 70 nt
Filed under: Ictidomys tridecemlineatus (thirteen-lined ground squirrel)
Lineage: Eukaryota; Metazoa; Chordata; Mammalia; Rodentia; Sciuridae
Description: Spermophilus tridecemlineatus (thirteen-lined ground squirrel) tRNA
Rfam family: tRNA
About the family: Transfer RNA (tRNA) molecules are approximately 80 nucleotides in length. Their secondary structure includes four short double-helical elements and three loops (D, anti-codon, and T loops). Further hydrogen bonds mediate the characteristic L-shaped molecular structure. tRNAs have two regions of fundamental functional importance: the anti-codon, which is responsible for specific mRNA codon recognition, and the 3' end, to which the tRNAs corresponding amino acid is attached (by aminoacyl-tRNA synthetases). tRNAs cope with the degeneracy of the genetic code in two manners: having more than one tRNA (with a specific anti-codon) for a particular amino acid; and 'wobble' base-pairing, i.e. permitting non-standard base-pairing at the 3rd anti-codon position.
Source: Rfam by way of RNAcentral
GGGGAUGUAGCUCAGUUGGUAGAGUGCCUGCCUUGUAUGCAUGUGGCCCUGGGUUCAAUCCCCAGUACCA